Molecule: ribosomal RNA, 468 nt
Filed under: uncultured bacterium
Lineage: Bacteria
Description: partial 16S ribosomal RNA
Rfam family: Bacterial small subunit ribosomal RNA
Source: RNAcentral
GACGAACGCUGGCGGCGUGCUUAACACAUGCAAGUCGAACGGGAAGGCCCUGCUUUUGUGGGGUGCUCGAGUGGCGAACGGGUGAGUAACACGUGAGUAACCUGCCCUUGACUUUGGGAUAACUUCAGGAAACUGGGGCUAAUACCGGAUAGGAGCUCCUGCUGCAUGGUGGGGGUUGGAAAGUUUCGGCGGUUGGGGAUGGACUCGCGGCUUAUCAGCUUGUUGGUGGGGUAGUGGCUUACCAAGGCUUUGACGGGUAGCCGGCCUGAGAGGGUGACCGGCCACAUUGGGACUGAGAUUCGGCCCAGACUCCUACGGGAGGCAGCAGUGGGGAAUAUUGCACAAUGGGCGGAAGCCUGAUGCAGCAACGCCGCGUGCGGGAUGACGGCCUUCGGGUUGUAAACCGCUUUCGCCUGUGACGAAGCGUGAGUGACGGUAAUGGGUAAAGAAGCACCGGCUAACUACGUG